RNAcentral lists this ribosomal RNA (410 nucleotides) under Ompok bimaculatus (butter catfish). RNAcentral's name for it is "partial 12S ribosomal RNA". It matches the Rfam family "Bacterial small subunit ribosomal RNA", at positions 801 to 1414 of the family's 1533-position model. The record is from RNAcentral. Lineage: Eukaryota; Metazoa; Chordata; Actinopteri; Siluriformes; Siluridae.
CUAAACCCAGAUGUCCCCUUACAUAUACAUCCGCCAGGGUACUACGAGCACAGCUUAAAACCCAAAGGACUUGGCGGUGUCUCAGACCCACCUAGAGGAGCCUGUUCUAGAACCGAUAACCCCCGUUAAACCUCACCACUCCUUGUUUCCCCCGCCUAUAUACCGCCGUCGUCAGCUUACCCUGUGAAGGCCAAACAGUAAGCAAAAUGGGUACACCCAAAAACGUCAGGUCGAGGUGUAGCGCACGAAGUGGGAAGAAAUGGGCUACAUUUUCUAAAUACAGAAUACUACGAACAGCACCCUGAAAACAGGUGCUCGAAGGUGGAUUUAGUAGUAAAAAGCAAAUAGAGAGUCCUUUUGAAUUAGGCUCUGAGACGCGCACACACCGCCCGUCACCCUCUGGAAGUCAA